ACUAGAUGUAGGAACAUUGCUGCUAUAACAGCCUCCACUCUUCUGGGAAGGCUUUCCACUAGAUGUUGGAACAUUGCUGCUAUAACAGCCUCCUCUCUUCUGGGAAGGCUUUCCACUAGAUGUUGGAACAUUGCUGCUAUAACAGCCUCCACUCUUCUGGGAAGGCUUUCCACUAGAUGUUGGUACAUUGCUGCGGGGGACUUGCUUCCAUUCAGCCACAGGAGCAUUAGUGAGGUCGGCCACUGAUGUUGGGUGAUUAGGCCUGGCUCGCAGUCGGCGUUCCAAUUCAUCACAAAGGUGUUCGAUGGGGUUGAGGUCAGGGCUCCGUGCAGGCCAGUCAAGUUCUUCACACACCGAUCUCGAUAAACCAUUUCUGUAUGGACCUCGCUUUGUGCACGGGGGGGCAUUGUCAUGAUGAAACAGGAAAGGGCCUUCCUCAAACUGUUGCCACAAAGUUGGAAGCACAGAAUCGUCUAGAAUGUCAUGGCCCAAACCAUGAAAAACAGCCCCAGACCAUUAUUCCUCUUCCACCAAACUUUACAGUUGGCACUAUGCAUUAGGGCAGGUAGCGUUCUCCUGGCAUCUGCCAAAUCCAGAUUCCUCCGUCGGACUGCCAGAUGGUGAAGCGUGAUUCAUCACUCCAGAGAACAUGUUUCCACUGCUCCAGAGUCCAAUGGCGGCGAGCUUUACACCACUCCAGCUGACGCUUGGCAUUGCACAUGGUGAUCUUAGGCUUGUGUGCGGCUGCUCGGCCACGGAAACCCAUUUCAUGAAGCUCCAGACCAACAGUUGUUGUGCUGACGUUGCUUCCAGAGGCAGUUUGGAACUCGGUAGUGGAGUGUUGCAACCGAGGACAGAUGAUUUUUACGCGAUUCGGCGCUCGGCGGUCCCGUUCUGUGAGUUUGUGUGGCAUACCACUUCACGGCUGAGCCGUUGUUGCUCCUAGACGUUUCCACUUCACAAUAACAGCACUUACAGUUGACCCGGGGGCAGCUCUAGCAGGGCAGAAAUUUGACGAACUGACUUGUUGGAAAGGUGGGAUCCUAUGACUGUGCCACGUUGAAAGUCAUUGAGCUCUUCAGUAAGGCCAUUCUACUGCCAAUGUUUGUCUAUGGAGAUUGCAUGGCUGUGUGCUCGAUUUUAUACACCUGUCAGCAACAGUGUUGCUGAAAUAGACAAAUCCACUAAUUUGAAGGGGUGUCCACAUACUUUUGUAAUAUAUACAUAUGCACACAGUUGAAGUCUGAAGUUUACAUACAUUUAGGUUGGAGUCAUUAAAACUCGAUUUUCAACCACUCCACAAAUUUCUUGUUAACAAAAUGGACAAUGACCCCAAGCAUACUUCCAAAGUUGUCGCAAAAUGACUUAAUGACAACAAAGUCAAGGUAUUGGAGUGGUCAUCACAAAGCCCUGACCUCAAUCCAAUAGAAAAUUUGUGGGCAGAACUGAAAAAGCGUGUGGGAGCAAGGAGGCCUACAAACCUGACUCAGUUACACCAGCUCUGUCAGGAGGAAUGGGCCAAAAUUCACCCAACUUAUUGUGGGAAGCUUGUGGAAGGCUACCCGAAACGUUUGACCCAAGUUAAACAAUUUAAAGGCAAUGCUACCAAAUACUAAUAGAGUGGAUGUAAACUUCUGACCCGCUGGGAAUGUGAUGAAAUAAAUAAAAGCUGAAAUAAAUCAAAUCUCUCUACUAUUAUUCUGACAU
This 1707-nucleotide long non-coding RNA is filed under the name Salmo salar (Atlantic salmon). RNAcentral describes it as "lncRNA (ENSSSAG00000091116.1)". The record is from RNAcentral. Lineage: Eukaryota; Metazoa; Chordata; Actinopteri; Salmoniformes; Salmonidae.